This 467-nucleotide ribosomal RNA is filed under the name uncultured bacterium. RNAcentral's name for it is "partial 16S ribosomal RNA". It matches the Rfam family "Bacterial small subunit ribosomal RNA", at positions 28 to 507 of the family's 1533-position model. The record is from RNAcentral.
GACGAACGCUGGCGGCGUGCUUAACACAUGCAAGUCGAACGGAAAGGCCUCUUUCGGGGGGUACUCGAGUGGCGAACGGGUGAGUAACACGUGAGUAUCCUGCCCUUGACUUUGGGAUAACUUCAGGAAACUGGGGCUAAUAUCGGAUAGGAGCUCCUGCUGCAUGGUGGGGGUUGGAAAGUUUUGGCGGUUGGGGGUGGACUCGCGGCUUAUCAGCUUGUUGGUGGGGUAGUGGCUUACCAAGGCUUUGACGGGUAGCCGGCCUGGGAGGGUGACCGGCCACAUUGGGACUGAGAUACGGCCCCAGCCCCUACGGGGGGCAACAGUGGGGAAUUUUGGACAAUUGGUGGGAGCCUGAUGCAGCAACGCCGGGGUCGGGAUGACGGCCUUCGGGUUGUAAACCGCUUUCGCUCAUGACGGAGCUGUGUGUGACGGUAGUGGGUAAAGAAGCACCGGCUAACUACGUG